Zingiber officinale is the source of this 1026-nucleotide long non-coding RNA. RefSeq lists it as uncharacterized. The record is from RefSeq and is a predicted model, not a curated record. The transcript has 4 exons. NCBI's taxonomy places the organism in Eukaryota, Viridiplantae, Streptophyta, Magnoliopsida, Zingiberales, Zingiberaceae.
GAACCCCUCACUCGACGCCUCCUCUCCUAUUCUCUUCCUCUUCGUCGUCGAACCUUAAGCUUCCCUAAAAAAUCCCGAUUCUUCCUCCUCUCUCGCGCCGUCUCCUCUCUUCCUCUCCCCCACGCGGCGUGGAGCACCGAUCAUCUCCCUCUCGCGAAGCCGAGCAGCAUGGCUCCAACCACCUCUUUGCCUUCCCCAACCGGUGCUGCCGCGACACCCCAUCUCCCUCGAUCGUCGAAGCUCAAAUCUCGCCGCCACCUGAUUGGCGACGCAAGCAGCUUCAUCAUCGACGAUCGAAGCACAUCUUGAAGGCUAGCCGGCAACUCAAUGGAUGCCAGCUAUCUCAAGAGCAACGGAGCUCCUCUCCCUCACGCGCCUUUGGCCUAGAUCGACUGAUUGUCGAUCCUUCACCGCCGCCUUGUUCCUCCUCGCGUCUCUGCCCUAUAGCGAUCGUCGCCGAUCCUCCCUUCACUCCGUGAUGCCGCCGACCAUCCAUCUCCUCCCUUUCGAUCAGCUGAGCAUCAACAGGAGCUUUGGUUUUGGAAGAUCAAUAGCAGUUGCUCUUCCAGCAGUUGUCUCCGGUAGUAGGGUAAGGGAUCUUUGGUUUUGGCUACUAUAGCUCCUGUUGUGAGCAACAGGAUGACCAAAUUUGGCUUUGGCUGGCGGUGCUGUUAAGGAGGUUUUCCCAACAGUGGGUUGAUUCAGGAACAAACGGAUUUAGGACUCUGAUUCGAGACGAGCGUCUCGACGUCGGAUUGGUUUGAUACGAUCUCCAUUUUUUAGGCGGGCAACCUUACAUGGGAUUUCUUUUGGCACACGCUAUUUUGAGUGUAAGAACAGGAAAUUUAGCAACCAUGGAUCCAUUUUAUCCGUAUUUUAGAGAUUGGAGGGAUAGUUAUUACUAUCAGCCUCAGACUUAGUCCUACCUACCUAUGGAGUAACGGAAUAGGUAUGAGGAUGCACAAGAACAAAUUGAAGAAUCAAUGUGGAAAUGCAAUGAAGUUAUGCAACAAAUGAGUGAGCAUC